RNAcentral lists this ribosomal RNA (256 nucleotides) under Mycobacterium sp. ISO521_OTU2708. RNAcentral's name for it is "partial 16S ribosomal RNA". It matches the Rfam family "Bacterial small subunit ribosomal RNA", at positions 29 to 289 of the family's 1533-position model. RNAcentral also lists the same sequence under 2 other names. The record is from RNAcentral. Lineage: Bacteria; Bacillati; Actinomycetota; Actinomycetes; Mycobacteriales; Mycobacteriaceae.
ACGAACGCUGGCGGCGUGCUUAACACAUGCAAGUCGAACGGAAAGGCCCUUCGGGGUACUCGAGUGGCGAACGGGUGAGUAACACGUGGGUGAUCUGCCCUGCACUUCGGGAUAAGCCUGGGAAACUGGGUCUAAUACCGGAUAUGACCUCAGGAUGCAUGUCUUGUGGUGGAAAGCUUUUGCGGUGUGGGAUGGGCCCGCGGCCUAUCAGCUUGUUGGUGGGGUUAAGGCCUACCAAGGCGACGACGGGUAGCCG